GGGCAUAUGGGGUAGCUUGGAUAUCCUAGGGGCUUGCGGAGCCCUAGACUUGGGUUCGAAUCCCAAUAUGCCCGCCA
RNAcentral lists this transfer RNA (77 nucleotides) under Candidatus Methanomethylophilus alvi Mx1201. RNAcentral describes it as "tRNA-Arg (GCG) (tRNA-Arg-GCG-1-1)". It matches the Rfam family "tRNA". From Rfam's summary of the family: Transfer RNA (tRNA) molecules are approximately 80 nucleotides in length. Their secondary structure includes four short double-helical elements and three loops (D, anti-codon, and T loops). Further hydrogen bonds mediate the characteristic L-shaped molecular structure. tRNAs have two regions of fundamental functional importance: the anti-codon, which is responsible for specific mRNA codon recognition, and the 3' end, to which the tRNAs corresponding amino acid is attached (by aminoacyl-tRNA synthetases). tRNAs cope with the degeneracy of the genetic code in two manners: having more than one tRNA (with a specific anti-codon) for a particular amino acid; and 'wobble' base-pairing, i.e. permitting non-standard base-pairing at the 3rd anti-codon position. The record is from RNAcentral. Lineage: Archaea; Methanobacteriati; Thermoplasmatota; Thermoplasmata; Methanomassiliicoccales; Methanomethylophilaceae. RNAcentral also lists the same sequence under 5 other names.